Molecule: long non-coding RNA, 278 nt
Filed under: Gossypium raimondii (Peruvian cotton)
Lineage: Eukaryota; Viridiplantae; Streptophyta; Magnoliopsida; Malvales; Malvaceae
Description: long non-coding RNA (GRAI_LNC007337)
Source: RNAcentral
AAGAAGGGAGGAUUUGAUUGAUAGAAUUAGUGGAGCGUUGAUGAUCUUCGUGAUCAUGAUGAGGCGUUUGGAGCAUGAAAUUUGCUGGGAAGAAAGCCAUUCCAUUGCAAGACAUGGAGCAGAUGGCAGACAGGUCUUGUUUUAAAUAAGCCUGCAAGAAUAUUAAAGAAAAACUCUAUUUUCACCAACUCAUGAUUGUUGCAGAUCCUCGGAGUGGACACAGAGUUUAAUGCAAGAAAAGCAAAAGAGAGAUUCGAUAUAUAUUUACAUAUAUCAGA